This is a long non-coding RNA of Oreochromis aureus, 767 nucleotides long. RefSeq lists it as uncharacterized. The transcript has 3 exons. The record is from RefSeq and is a predicted model, not a curated record. Lineage: Eukaryota; Metazoa; Chordata; Actinopteri; Cichliformes; Cichlidae.
AGCAAUUUGUGAGGCAGCGUGUAAUUGGAUGCUGACUGCAGGAAUGUCUACUAGAGCUGUUGCCCGUGAAAUGAAUGUUCAUUUCUCUGCCAUAAGCCAUCUUCAAAGGCGUUUCAGAGACUUUGGCAGUACAUCCAACCGGCCUCACAAUCGCAGACCACGUGUAAGCACACCAGCCCAGUACCUCCACAUCCAGCAUGUUCAUCUCCAGGAUCGUCUGAGACCAGCCACCCGGACAGCUGCAGCAAAAGUCGGUUUGCAUAACCAAAGAAUUUUGGCACAAACUGUCAGAAACCGUCUCAGGGAAGCUCACCUGCAUGCUCGUCAUCCUCAUCGGGGUCUGGACCUGACUGCAGUUCAUCAUCGUAACCGACUUGAUUGGGCAGGUAAACUGUGCAGACAGAGUGGAAAGGACAGUGUUAAGAAACCAGCACUGUAUUUGGCCCUGAAGUAAAUAUCAGCAAGGUGACAGCAGCAAACCUUACAGAUCCUCAAGCUGCCUAAAAGUGUAAGUGAAGUAGGAGGAGGAGCUUUUCUGUGAUCUUUCUAUGUAAGAAUCAGCCAAGGUGCAGCAGUGGGCGAUACAUUUACUCUAUCCUUUUAUUAUUACCCCCCCUUUUCCCCCGUCUGUCCUUCCUUAGACAUUGUGUUAUUAUAGUUUCAUGUAGUAUAAUAUGACUAAUAGAAAUGAAUAAAUAAACAGAUUAAAGAUUCAUAUCAAAAACAAUACAAGAUGUUUGGCACCACGGUGCAUUCAUAUCACAAUU